UCACAACACCAAUUUACACAGAAGUGGAGUUCUGGUCAGGAGCCUUUCUUGUCUGCCAAACAGGCCAAGAACGUGAAGAAACUUGACUUUCUGGCACCAUUCCACGUGAGAUGCCGGGGAGCUGAGAGCUGGGAAAAGCGGCCCUCCCACCCCUCAGUUCCUUUCAUCUGUGUGGAUCACAACACAGAGUGUCAGUAGAAGAAGGGCUCAGUGGUGAGAGAGCUAGUUUGUACUCAGAGGCAG
Pezoporus occidentalis (night parrot) is the source of this 243-nucleotide long non-coding RNA. RefSeq lists it as uncharacterized. The record is from RefSeq and is a predicted model, not a curated record. The transcript has 3 exons. Lineage: Eukaryota; Metazoa; Chordata; Aves; Psittaciformes; Psittacidae.